CGCGACCCCAGGUCAGUCGGGACCACCCGCUGAGUUUAAGCAUAUAAAUAA
RNAcentral lists this ribosomal RNA (51 nucleotides) under Sorghum halepense. RNAcentral describes it as "partial 26S ribosomal RNA". The record is from RNAcentral. Lineage: Eukaryota; Viridiplantae; Streptophyta; Magnoliopsida; Poales; Poaceae.